GGAGAGGUGGCAGAGUGGUCGAAUGUACCUGACUCGAAAUCAGGCGUACACAGCGUGUACCGCGGGUUCGAAUCCCGCCCUCUCCGCCA
This 89-nucleotide transfer RNA is filed under the name Azoarcus sp. Its description in RNAcentral is "tRNA-Ser". It matches the Rfam family "tRNA". Rfam says of the family: Transfer RNA (tRNA) molecules are approximately 80 nucleotides in length. Their secondary structure includes four short double-helical elements and three loops (D, anti-codon, and T loops). The record is from RNAcentral. Lineage: Bacteria; Pseudomonadati; Pseudomonadota; Betaproteobacteria; Rhodocyclales; Zoogloeaceae.